This 465-nucleotide ribosomal RNA is filed under the name uncultured bacterium. RNAcentral describes it as "partial 16S ribosomal RNA". It matches the Rfam family "Bacterial small subunit ribosomal RNA", at positions 338 to 795 of the family's 1533-position model. The record is from RNAcentral.
CCUACGGGUGGCAGCAGUGGGGAAUAUUGCGCAAUGGGCGAAAGCCUGACGCAGCGACGCCGCGUGAGGGAUGAAGGUCUUCGGAUCGUAAACCUCUGUCAGCAGGGAAGAACGGUCACUGUGCUAAUCAGCAGUGAAUUGACGGUACCUGCAAAGGAAGCACCGGCUAACUCCGUGCCAGCAGCCGCGGUAAUACGGAGGGGGCGAGCGUUAAUCGGAAUUACUGGGCGUAAAGCGCUCGUAGGCGGUAUGUCAAGUCAAGGGGGAAAUCCCCGCGCUCAACGUGGGAACUGCCUUUGAAACUGGCAAACUGGAGUGUGUGAGAGGAGAGUGGAAUUCCAGGUGUAGGAGUGAAAUCCGUAGAUAUCUGGAGGAACAUCAGUGGCGAAGGCGACUAUCUGGCACAUAACUGACGCUGAGGAGCGAAAGCGUGGGUAGCAAACAGGAUUAGAUACCCCAGUAGUC